Non-coding RNA from Plutella xylostella (diamondback moth), 521 nucleotides. Lineage: Eukaryota; Metazoa; Arthropoda; Insecta; Lepidoptera; Plutellidae. The record is from RefSeq and is a predicted model, not a curated record.
CGCAAUAAAAGUUACUCUGUUAAAAAAAAUAACCUUCUGUCUUUUUGUUGUUUGUGGUGCAAUGCUGCAUAAAGUUUUUCGAACUAAAAACAAACUUUUGAAACUUUCUUCUAUCCAUAAAAUUAAAAGAAAUGCCUUUAUGUGAAAACCGCCAUAUUGAGUAAAUAGUUACUUACUAAUCGCAAAGACAAACAACAAAACUUAAUGUUUUUUUCGAGACAAACAUAAAAGAACAGAAAACUAGCUGCCUGACAUCUAACAUGAAGAGAUGAAGCAAAUUCCCUAAUAUCCUGGUCUUUCGGUACCAAAUUGUAACGUUUCGCCCUACCUCCUGCCUAACUCCUACAUAAUGGAUUUACUAAGAAGAUAUUUGAAAACACCUAACUAACUUGAGUGAAAUAAGAGUGAAACAAAUACUGUUUUGAAUUGGCCAUGAAACAUCCAGUGAACCCCUACGUUGUGAUGUAACCCAAUAAACGAAAGAUAGUGAAUUAAAUAAAACUAUGACCUAGAACUGAUUA